GGGGGCGCACGCUUCGACAAGAACGCCUCUUUGAAAACAGCAGAUCAAGUUGGUGAACUUGUCAAAAUCACCAAAACAACAAUUGCCAACAGAAAUGUUGCACCGGCAUUGGCUUUUGCCUAAAUGCCCAUCAGCCCUUGAUGCCUGCUAGAGGAUCACUGGUGUUAUAAAGCAGACUCGCUGAAUUAGGGAUGGCUUCUUGUCCAAAAUUUAGUUAAAAACAACCAGGAAGCAAUUUUGCCUCUUUUAGAGGCUACGUCUGUAGAUUGUUUUCAAAGAAAUUCUUGGACGGGAGUUCAAUCUCCCCGCCUCCACAA
This 317-nucleotide transfer-messenger RNA is filed under the name Candidatus Wolfebacteria bacterium GWA1_42_9. It matches the Rfam family "transfer-messenger RNA". Rfam says of the family: Bacterial tmRNA, also known as 10Sa RNA or SsrA, is named for its dual tRNA and mRNA-like properties. Its role is to liberate the mRNA from a stalled ribosome. To accomplish this part of the tmRNA is used as a reading frame that ends in a translation stop signal. Lineage: Bacteria; Candidatus Wolfeibacteriota. RNAcentral also lists the same sequence under 1 other name. The record is from RNAcentral.